GAUGAACGCUGGCGGCGUGCCUAAUACAUGCAAGUCGAGCGAACGGACGAGAAGCUUGCUUCUCUGAUGUUAGCGGCGGACGGGUGAGUAACACGUGGAUAACCUACCUAUAAGACUGGGAUAACUUCGGGAAACCGUAGCUAAUACCGGAUAAUAUUUUGAACCGCAUGGUUCAAAAGUGAAAGACGGUCUUGCUGUCACUUAUAGAUGGAUCCGCGCUGCAUUAGCUAGUUUGUAAGGUAACGGCUUACCAAGGCAACGAUGCAUAGCCGACCUGAGAGGGUGAUCGGCCACCCUGGAACUGAGACACGGUCCAGACUCCUACGGGAGGCAGCAGUAGGGAAUCUUCCGCAAUGGGCGAAAGCCUGACGGAGCAACGCCGCGUGAGUGAUGAAGGUCUUCGGAUCGUAAAACUCUGUUAUUAGGGAAGAACAUAUGUGUAAGUAACUGUGCACAUCUUGACGGUACCUAAUCAGAAAGCCACGGCUAACUACGUG
This 497-nucleotide ribosomal RNA is filed under the name uncultured bacterium. RNAcentral describes it as "partial 16S ribosomal RNA". It matches the Rfam family "Bacterial small subunit ribosomal RNA", at positions 28 to 507 of the family's 1533-position model. The record is from RNAcentral.